UUGAGCAUUAGGUGACCAUUAACCUAUCAGAUGUAUUUGAUAUAUCCAAUUAACCAAUCAGAUGCAUACUACGUACUGUACGCCAAUGAGAGGUAGCGGUAGUGGAAGUCAAAUCUGAACCUCUCUAGUAUAUAUCGCGUCGGGGCUGGGAUAGAUAAUCUUCCGGAAACUUUCAUCGGAAAUAUUUGAUAAAUACCUGGGUGAAGAUCCAUUGCGGAAGUCCCUUAAGCAUUUAAAAAUAGUGUACCGUAUAUUUACAGUACCUGAAAUGGCAGUGUACAGUUCUGAACAACUGGACAUUCACAUUGACAAUAAUCUUUGUUGAGCACUUUCUUAUGAUCCAGGGUACACAUUCUCUGGGUUACUGCGCACUCGCAUUUGCAUUCUGAGUGCCCUUCCACGUUCAAACUAAGCAUCUGAACACCGGUUGUGCUGCGUUUACUCAAAUGGUGAAUUGGAUCUAAAAAUUGUACGA
Paramuricea clavata is the source of this 475-nucleotide non-coding RNA. The record is from the annotation of a GenBank genome assembly. NCBI's taxonomy places the organism in Eukaryota, Metazoa, Cnidaria, Anthozoa, Malacalcyonacea, Plexauridae.